RNAcentral lists this transfer RNA (72 nucleotides) under Camponotus floridanus (Florida carpenter ant). It matches the Rfam family "tRNA". Rfam says of the family: Transfer RNA (tRNA) molecules are approximately 80 nucleotides in length. Their secondary structure includes four short double-helical elements and three loops (D, anti-codon, and T loops). Further hydrogen bonds mediate the characteristic L-shaped molecular structure. tRNAs have two regions of fundamental functional importance: the anti-codon, which is responsible for specific mRNA codon recognition, and the 3' end, to which the tRNAs corresponding amino acid is attached (by aminoacyl-tRNA synthetases). tRNAs cope with the degeneracy of the genetic code in two manners: having more than one tRNA (with a specific anti-codon) for a particular amino acid; and 'wobble' base-pairing, i.e. permitting non-standard base-pairing at the 3rd anti-codon position. Lineage: Eukaryota; Metazoa; Arthropoda; Insecta; Hymenoptera; Formicidae. The record is from Rfam by way of RNAcentral.
GGCUGACUAACUCAGUGGUAAGAGCAGUCGCCCGGCAAGCGAAAGACUCGGGUUCGAUUCCCGAUUCAGCGA